This 445-nucleotide ribosomal RNA is filed under the name uncultured bacterium. RNAcentral describes it as "partial 16S ribosomal RNA". It matches the Rfam family "Bacterial small subunit ribosomal RNA", at positions 354 to 796 of the family's 1533-position model. The record is from RNAcentral.
GUGAGGAAUAUUGCGCAAUGGAGGCAACUCUGACGCAGCCAUGCCGCGUGCAGGAAGAAGGCGCUACGCGUUGUAAACUGCUUUUAACCGGCAAGAAACCCCAGGACGUGUCCUGGGUUGACGUUACCGGAGGAAUAAGCACCGGCUAACUUCGUGCCAGCAGCCGCGGUAAUACGAAGGGAGCAAGCGUUAUCCGGAUUCAUUGGGUUUAAACGGUGCGUAGGCGUAGCGUACAGUCAGUGGUGAAAUCCUGCAGCUUAACUGUAGACUUGCCAUUGAUAAUGGCGCUCUUUAGUGCGCUUGAAGUGGGCGGAAUGUGCCGUGUAGAGGUGAAAUGCUUAGAUAUGGCACAGAACACCAAUUGCGAAGGCAGCUCACUAAGGCGAUACUGACGCUGAGGCACGAAAGCGUGGGGAUCGAACAGGAUUAGAAACCCCUGUAGUCC